Molecule: long non-coding RNA, 1941 nt
Organism: Lathyrus oleraceus (garden pea)
Lineage: Eukaryota; Viridiplantae; Streptophyta; Magnoliopsida; Fabales; Fabaceae
Exons: 5
Source: RefSeq, a predicted model, not a curated record
AAAAAGAUUGCCAUAGAAACAAGAACAAUGAAGCACUAAGGGAAUGAGCAUGAAGUAGAGACUGGGGGUGCAGGUCCGUAAAGGUGGGUCAGCAAACCAACUGGGUGUGGAGUCCCAACUGCAUACUGUGCCGUAACCUGAGCCAAAACGGGCCGUAAACUCUCAAGGCCCCAACGCGCAUGAGCGACCACUGAAUGGUCCUGAGCAUGGACACCAAGGCUUCGUCCUCUUCGAGUCGCGACCUUAAACCCAAAACUUGACAGAAGCGGCCAUGGAAAUCAAAGUGAAGUCCGGAAUUCCAGAAGAGGCGCGGUCAUAUCGAACUCACAAGCGGAAAUUGCAAUCUUACUUCAAUGUCCUGAAUUCAAGUCCAAUCAAUUCCACCAAUUGGAUCCCCAAACUCAAAAAGAGACGCUUCCAAAUCCAGCUGCAUCCGAAUUUCAUUAGCGCUUCUGCAAACGGGAUUAUGCACUCUCCAAAGAGUUCCACGAUUAAUCCACAAACAAAGUUCCAUUCUACAAUUAAACUCCUCAACCGCACCACGUAUCGGUUCGUCACAACUUAAAAUUCGAUGCGAAACGCUUAUUCAGGAACAACGAAUAAAAACGAUGAAGCACAGAAAUGUAAUCGCGCCUACCUGUAAGGAGUGGUGUGGUCGUUCCUUGAAGCCGGCUUCGACGGAAAGUAAUCCAAGCUUCUCCUUCGGGUAUGCAAUCUUCCUCCGUUCUUGCUACGCGUUCUUCUUCUUUACUCUUCUUUCUUCUACUCCUUGUGAUUGGUAAUGCGUUGACGUCGUUCUUUAUUGUUUGUAUGCGCGAUGAAUGGGAAAGAGAAUGAGGUCAAGCUCAGCACGUUGAAGCUUCAAGGAGAGAGCUUCAAUGUCUAUCAAAUUGAGCUCUAUGUGAAGGGUUAAAGGGGAAGAACGAGGGAGAGGAAGGACUUGCAAACGAUUGGUGAAAAAACUCAGUCUCCACCAUGAUGCAGGAAAAAAAACUCGGUACGCUUAGCCCAAGUCAGGAAACCGUCCUGGAAUGAGAUCGAAAUCUGCGGAACCGCAUCUCAUCAUGUCAGUGGGAAAAAAAGCAACUAGAGUUACACUCCUGCUGGUAGAUUGCUUAAUUCUGUUAGAGUCAUGGCAUGAACUUGUGAUGCAAUUAGCCACAAUUAGAUGAUGCCUUAGUUGACUGUUUGUAGGUCAUGAAAGGACCAAACAAUAGGUUGCUUGCAAGUGAUGAAGCUUGAAUACUAAGGUUUAACAACUACUUCAGUUUUGCUUGUCAAAUGAGCAACAAACUUGAAUUUCUUGAUGAUACUAGGAUCAAAUUUCUUGUUAUGAGCGACCUGCUGUCAUGCCCUGUACAUGUGGGUGCAAAAUGGAUUUUGUGCAUCAUUUAUGUUGGAUAUGGAUGUUAUGUGGACCGUGUUGCUGCUAGAGAACAAGUUAUUCCACAUGAGCUUCCAUCCACUACAGAGAAAAAGUGAUGACUCCAUUCUUGGUGAAAGUACUAAGGAAGUAAGUCUACAUCAUCCUUGUCGCCAUGAUCUCAGUUGGAGUCUUGAUGUUACUUGAACAUACAUGAUCUGUUGGAGACAGUCAUUAUACUAACGGCUUUCCAUGUGUUGACUCAUGUGAUUGUGCAAGGUGGUGGCGCGAAUUCUUGUGAUCUUUAGCAUUCUGCACUAGCCAAGCCUUUUAGGUCUAGCAUUUGAUUUACAUUGCUUAUUCAACUUGUAUCUUGGUAUCAGGUAAAAUGGUGUAACACAUAUUGUAGACUUUGAUGUUAGUAAAGGUUUGUUAGAAUGGUUAACUUGAGAUGAAAUUAAGAAGUUUCAUAAUUUUAGUAAUUUUUCCAAUGCUUGUGAAUUGUAUGGAUGUUUGGCUUUAUGCUUGACAAAAUGGAUUGUAAAGAAACUUUAAUGAAUGAUUGUUAUGUUUUGAAA